RNAcentral lists this ribosomal RNA (497 nucleotides) under uncultured bacterium. RNAcentral describes it as "partial 16S ribosomal RNA". It matches the Rfam family "Bacterial small subunit ribosomal RNA", at positions 28 to 507 of the family's 1533-position model. The record is from RNAcentral.
GAUGAACGCUGGCGGCGUGCCUAAUACAUGCAAGUCGAGCGAACAGACGAGGAGCUUGCUCCUCUGAUGUUAGCGGCGGACGGGUGAGUAACACGUGGAUAACCUACCUAUAAGACUGGGAUAACUACGGGAAACCGGAGCUAAUACCGGAUAAUAUAUUGAACCGCAUGGUUCAAUAGUGAAAGACGGUCUUGCUGUCACUUAUAGAUGGAUCCGCGCUGCAUUAGCUAGUUGGUAAGGUAACGGCUUACCAAGGCAACGAUGCAUAGCCGACCUGAGAGGGUGAUCGGCCACACUGGAACUGAGACACGGUCCAGACUCCUACGGGAGGCAGCAGUAGGGAAUCUUCCGCAAUGGGCGAAAGCCUGACGGAGCAACGCCGCGUGAGUGAUGAAGGUCUUCGGAUCGUAAAACUCUGUUAUUAGGGAAGAACAAAUGUGUAAGUAACUAUGCACAUCUUGACGGUACCUAAUCAGAAAGCCACGGCUAACUACGUG